GAUAUGGUGCCUGAAAAAAAGGUCUGUUUUGAUAGGACAGCUCAUGUAGUAAUACUGCCCAUAUUA
RNAcentral lists this transfer RNA (66 nucleotides) under Puerulus angulatus. RNAcentral's name for it is "tRNA-Ile". Lineage: Eukaryota; Metazoa; Arthropoda; Malacostraca; Decapoda; Palinuridae. The record is from RNAcentral.